UAGGGAAUCUUCCACAAUGGACGCAAGUCUGAUGGAGCAACGCCGCGUGAGUGAAGAAGGUUUUCGGACCGUAAAGCUCUGUUGUUGGUGAAGAAGGAUAGAGGUAGUAACUGGCCUUUAUUUGACGGUAAUCAACCAGAAAGUCACGGCUAACUACGUGCCAGCAGCCGCGGUAAUCGUAGGUGGCAAGCGUUGUCCGGAUUUAUUGGGCGUAAAGCGAGCGCAGGCGGAAGAAUAAGUCUGAUGUGAAAGCCCUCGGCUUAACCGAGGAAUUGCAUCGGAAACUGUUUUCUUGAGCGCAGAAGAGGAGAGUAGAACUCCAUGUGUAGCGGUGGAAUGCGUAGAUAUAUGGAAGAAUACCAGUGGCGAAGGCGGCUCUCUGGUCUGCAACUGACGCUGAGGCUCGAAAGCAUGGGUAGCGAACAGGAUUAGAUACCCUGGUAGUCCAUGCCGUAAACGAUGAGUGCUAAGUGUUGGGAGGCUUCCGCCUCUCAGUGCUGCAGCUAACGCAUUAAGCACUCCGCCUGGGGGAGUACGACCGCAAGGUUGAAAC
Molecule: ribosomal RNA, 553 nt
Filed under: uncultured bacterium
Lineage: Bacteria
Description: partial 16S ribosomal RNA
Rfam family: Bacterial small subunit ribosomal RNA
Source: RNAcentral